AAAAAUGCCAAAAAAAUAAAUCAAAAAGAAAAAGAAUGAUAUAAACCGGUUCUAAAAAGAGAGUUUUUAGAAUUCGUAAAAACCUCUGACGCCGUUGACGCUCUUCGUCUAGCUGGAUCUCUCGAAGGUUCUGUAUCAGGGUUGGAUUUGAGUUUCGAGGAGCUAGGAGGCGUUGCUUUGGAUCUCGUCGGAAUUCCUCUAUCGGAGGAAACAUUGACAAAGGCAAAGAACUCAGAUGUGUUUCAAUUUAAAACCUAUCACUGUCUUCCCUCAGUUGGUUGAUUCGACUUAUGAUCAUCCGCGAGCUUACCAGAGUUGAGUGACCAGCUUUCAUGUAGAAACAGAGAUUUGCUUCUUGUAUCUCUUUACAAAGGUUGUGUCUUUCUUGGCUGAAAAUAGGUAUUUACUGUUAGUUUAUAAUUAAGUUAGAUGCCGGAAGACCUCCCCGAAUAUCCCUUGUCUUCAUCCUCCUUCCAUCACAUCAUAUUCCUCAAUUCGAGAGAGAGAGAGAGAGAGAGAGAGCUUGGAUCGCGGUGGUGGAGUGUGAGGGAGUAGAUCAAUAGACAUGGCUUCGACUGACGGACUUGUGCCCAUCACCCGGGCUUUUCUGGCGUCAUACUACAACAAAUAUCCUUUCCCUCCUCUUUCCGACGACGUUUCUCGGCUUUCCUCUGACAUGGCUUCUCUGAUUCAGCUACUGACUCUCCAAUCUCCCCCAUCUCAAGGGGAAGCUUCCCUGAUCGAAGAAGCGAACCAGAAGAUGCUGAAUUAUUAUCCAUUUUGAGACAUCUCAAAGACAAUUUUGAUAAAGCUCUGGCUGCUAUGAUUUCCUUCCAGACGAAAAACUCUGAGAGCGUCUUUAACACUGUUAUGACCUACAUGCCUCAAGAUUUCCGAGGAACGCUCAUCAGACAGCAGAAGGAGAGGUCGGAGAGGAACAAACAGGCGGAGGUUGAUGCCUUGGUUAGCUCUGGAGGGACCAUACGCGACACAUAUGCUCUUCUUUGGAAGCAGCAGAUGGAGCGAUCGGACUCACUGGCGACGAUGGAUUUACAGCAAGAGCAGGCUUGUUGGAAACCCUUUUUUAUCCUCACGGAUGAUGUUAGUGUAUUUUCAGUUCUCAGAAAUGUCGUGCAUAUUUUUAUAACAUGAUAAGCGAUGUCAUAGACUGUCAAAAGCACGACAAACCACAGCGUGGAUAAAGUCAUAUUUGCCUUGACUUUUCCCAACUGCUUAGUCCUAUUUAAAAAAAAAAGCAGGCCUUCUUUCAAGUA
This is a long non-coding RNA of Brassica rapa (field mustard), 1274 nucleotides long. RefSeq lists it as uncharacterized. The record is from RefSeq and is a predicted model, not a curated record. Lineage: Eukaryota; Viridiplantae; Streptophyta; Magnoliopsida; Brassicales; Brassicaceae.